GAUGAACGCUGGCGGCGUGCCUAACACAUGCAAGUCGAGCGGAGUACCCCAAGAAAAAUUUUCGAAUGGAUCUUGGACGUACUUAGCGGCGGACGGGUGAGUAACGCGUGGGCAACCUGCCCUGUACAGAGGAAUAACAUUGGGAAACCAGUGCUAAUACCUUAUAACACUUUUCGGUGGCAUCACUGAGAAGUCAAAGUUUUUCGGUACAGGAUGGGCCCGCGUCUGAUUAGUUAGUUGGUGGGGUAAUGGCCCACCAAGACGAUGAUCAGUAGCCGACCUGAGAGGGUGAUCGGCCACACUGGAACUGAGACACGGUCCAGACUCCUACGGGAGGCAGCAGUGGGGAAUAUUGCACAAUGGGGGAAACCCUGAUGCAGCAACGCCGCGUGAGCGAUGAAGGCCUUCGGGUCGUAAAGCUCUGUCCUAAGGGAAGAUAUAGACGGUACCUUAGGAGGAAGCCCCGGCUAACUACGUG
RNAcentral lists this ribosomal RNA (478 nucleotides) under uncultured organism. RNAcentral's name for it is "bacterial SSU rRNA". It matches the Rfam family "Bacterial small subunit ribosomal RNA", at positions 28 to 507 of the family's 1533-position model. The record is from RNAcentral.